Molecule: ribosomal RNA, 483 nt
Filed under: uncultured bacterium
Lineage: Bacteria
Description: partial 16S ribosomal RNA
Rfam family: Bacterial small subunit ribosomal RNA
Source: RNAcentral
AUUGAACGCUGGCGGCAGGCCUAACACAUGCCAGUCGAGCGGAUGAAGGGAGCUUGCUCCUGGAUUCAGCGGCGGACGGGUGAGUAAUGCCUAGGAAUCUGCCUGGUAGUGGGGGAUAACGUCCGGAAACGGGCGCUAAUACCGCAUACGUCCUGAGGGAGAAAGUGGGGAUCUUCGGAACUCACGCUAUCAGUAGAGCCUAGGUCGGAUUAGUCAGUUGGUGGGGUAAAGGCCUACCAAGGCGACGGUCCGUAACUGGUCUGAGAGGAUGAUCAGUCACACUGGAACUGAGACACGGUCCAGACUCCUACGGGAGGCAGCAGUGGGGAAUAUUGGACAAUGGGCGAAAGCCUGAUCCAGCCAUGCCGCGUGUGUGAAGAAGGUCUUCGGAUUGUAAAGCACUUUAAGUUGGGAGGAAGGGCAGUAAGUUAAUACCUUGCUGUUUUGACGUUACCAACAGAAUAAGCACCGGCUAACUUCGUG